UGUGUAAAAAACAAAUUAAAAAAACAUAAACGUUAUAUGAAAAAGGCGUCGCCUCACGCCUAGCACUUUUCUUUCUAGGGUGCUCGCCUCAUGCGAUCCAGGCGAGGCGUUAGAUAGUCCACUCGUCCAGCGCCUAGGAGCAUCUUUAACAACACUACUCAUAAUAAUAAUAAAAGACUGAUUUCCUUGGCUACAUCAUUCUCCCCUAGUUGGAGAA
Molecule: unclassified non-coding RNA, 217 nt
Filed under: Hevea brasiliensis (rubber tree)
Lineage: Eukaryota; Viridiplantae; Streptophyta; Magnoliopsida; Malpighiales; Euphorbiaceae
Source: RNAcentral